Non-coding RNA from Chromatiales bacterium, 185 nucleotides. The record is from Rfam. Lineage: Bacteria; Pseudomonadati; Pseudomonadota; Gammaproteobacteria; Chromatiales.
CGCUCUCUGCGGCGUACGUCAACGGGCCGGGUAUCCUUGAGCCUAAUUAAGAAACCCAAGGAACUGACCGGUAGGCGAUGUUGAGCAGUCCGCUCUCGUAGCGGAACGCCUGAUUCGCCUCGCGAUGUUCCGUUCUUGAACCCUCGGUUCAAGUCGAAGGCCCGUAACGGCGCAGCGGAGAGCAC